AAAGCCUGAGGGAGCAAUACCGCGUGAGGGAGAAGGCUCUUGGGUUGUAAACCUCUUUUUUCAGGGAAGAAAAAAAUGACGGUACCUGAGGAAUAAGCAUCGGCUAACUCCGUGCCAGCAGCCGCGGUAAUACGGAGGAUGCAAGCGUUAUCCGGAAUGAUUGGGCGUAAAGCGUCCGCAGGUGGCGAUGAAAGUCUGCUGUUAAAGAGUGAGGCUCAACCUCAUAAAAGCAGUGGAAACUACAUAGCUAGAGUACGUUCGGGGCAGAGGGAAUUCCUGGUGUAGCGGUGAAAUGCGUAGAGAUCAGGAAGAACACCGGUGGCGAAAGCGCUCUGCUAGGCCUGUACUGACACUGAGGGACGAAAGCUAGGGGAGCGAAUGGGAUUAGAUACCCCAGUAGUCCUAGCCGUAAACGAUGGAUACUAGGCGUGGCUUGUAUCGACCCGAGCCGUGCCGGAGCUAACGCGUUAAGUAUCCCGCCUGGGGAGUACGCACGCAAGUGUGAAACUCAAAGGAAUUGACGGGGGCCCGCACAAGCGGUGGAGUAUGUGGUUUAAUUCGAUGCAACGCGAAGAACCUUACCAAGACUUGACAUGUCGCGAAUUCCUCUGAAAGGAGGAAGUGCCUUAGGGAGCGCGAACACAGGUGGUGCAUGGCUGUCGUCAGCUCGUGUCGUGAGAUGUUGGGUUAAGUCCCGCAACGAGCGCAACCCUCGUUUUUAGUUGCCAGCAUUAAGUUGGGCACUCUAGAGAGACUGCCGGUGACAAACCGGAGGAAGGUGGGGAUGACGUCAAGUCAGCAUGCCCCUUACGUCUUGGGCUACACACGUACUACAAUGCUACGGACAAAGGGCAGCAAGCUAGUGAUAGCAAGCAAAUCUCAUAAACCGUAGCUCAGUUCAGAUCGCAGGCUGCAACUCGCCUGCGUGAAGUCGGAAUCGCUAGUAAUUGCAGGUCAGCAUACUGCAGUGAAUUCGUUCCCG
This 982-nucleotide ribosomal RNA is filed under the name Calothrix sp. MBDU701. RNAcentral's name for it is "bacterial SSU rRNA". It matches the Rfam family "Bacterial small subunit ribosomal RNA", at positions 378 to 1376 of the family's 1533-position model. Lineage: Bacteria; Bacillati; Cyanobacteriota; Cyanophyceae; Nostocales; Calotrichaceae. The record is from RNAcentral.